RNAcentral lists this ribosomal RNA (1247 nucleotides) under metagenome. Its description in RNAcentral is "bacterial LSU rRNA". It matches the Rfam family "Bacterial large subunit ribosomal RNA", at positions 1635 to 2875 of the family's 2925-position model. The record is from RNAcentral.
UAUACGACCGUACCGCAAACCGACACUGGUGCGCGAGAUGAGUAUUCUAAGGCGCUUGAGAGAACUCAGGAGAAGGAACUCGGCAAAUUGACACCGUAACUUCGGAAGAAGGUGUGCCCUAUUGGUGUGUAGUGAACAACGAAGCAUGAAUGGGUUGCAAAAAAUCGGUGGCUGCGACUGUUUAUUAAAAACACAGCACUCUGCAAACACGAAAGUGGACGUAUAGGGUGUGACGCCUGCCCGGUGCUGGAAGAUUAAAUGAUGGGGUGCAAGCUCUUGAUUGAAGUCCCAGUAAACGGCGGCCGUAACUAUAACGGUCCUAAGGUAGCGAAAUUCCUUGUCGGGUAAGUUCCGACCUGCACGAAUGGCGUAACGAUGGCCACACUGUCUCCUCCUGAGACUCAGCGAAGUUGAAAUGUUUGUGAUGAUGCAAUCUCCCCGCGGAAAGACGGAAAGACCCCAUGAACCUUUACUGUAGCUUUGUAUUGGACUUUGAACAGAUCUGUGUAGGAUAGGUGGGAGGCUUUGAAGCAGGGUCGCUAGAUCUUGUGGAGCCAACGUUGAAAUACCACCCUGGUGUGUUUGAGGUUCUAACCUAGGUCCAUUAUCUGGAUCGGGGACAGUGCAUGGUAGGCAGUUUGACUGGGGCGGUCUCCUCCCAAAGCGUAACGGAGGAGUUCGAAGGUACGCUAGUUACGGUCGGACAUCGUGACGAUAGUGCAAUGGCAUAAGCGUGCUUAACUGCGAGACUGACAAGUCGAGCAUAUGCGAAAGCAGGACAUAGUGAUCCGGUGGUUCGUAUGGAAGGGCCAUCGCUCAACGGAUAAAAGGUACUCUGGGGAUAACAGGCUGAUACCGCCCAAGAGUUCAUAUCGACGGCGGUGUUUGGCACCUCGAUGUCGGCUCAUCUCAUCCUGGGGCUGUAGCCGGUCCCAAGGGUAUGGCUGUUCGCCAUUUAAAGAGGUACGUGAGCUGGGUUUAAAACGUCGUGAGACAGUUUGGUCCCUAUCUUCCGUGGGCGCUGCAGAUUUGAGGAAGCCUGCUCCUAGUACGAGAGGACCGGAGUGGACACACCUCUGGUGUAUCGGUUGUCACGCCAGUGGCAUUGCCGAGUAGCUAAGAGUGGAAGAGAUAACCGCUGAAAGCAUCUAAGCGGGAAACUCGUUUCAAGAUGAGAUCUGCCGGGGCCUUGAGCCCCCUAAAGAGUCGUUCAAGACCAGGACGUUGAUAGGUCAGGUGUGGAAGUG